UGGGGAAUAUUGCACAAUGGGGGAAACCCUGAUGCAGCGACGCCGCGUGAGCGAAGAAGUAUUUCGGUAUGUAAAGCUCUAUCAGCAGGGAAGAAGAAAUGACGGUACCUGACUAAGAAGCACCGGCUAAAUACGUGCCAGCAGCCGCGGUAAUACGUAUGGUGCAAGCGUUAUCCGGAUUUACUGGGUGUAAAGGGAGCGCAGGCGGAAGGCUAAGUCUGAUGUGAAAGCCCGGGGCUCAACCCCGGUACUGCAUUGGAAACUGGUCAUCUAGAGUGUCGGAGGGGUAAGUGGAAUUCCUAGUGUAGCGGUGAAAUGCGUAGAUAUUAGGAGGAACACCAGUGGCGAAGGCGGCUUACUGGACGAUAACUGACGCUGAGGCUCGAAAGCGUGGGGAGCAAACA
Molecule: ribosomal RNA, 404 nt
Filed under: uncultured bacterium
Lineage: Bacteria
Also listed under: 1 other name
Description: bacterial SSU rRNA
Rfam family: Bacterial small subunit ribosomal RNA
Source: RNAcentral